CGUCUGGAAACGGACGCUAAUACCGCAUAAUGUCUACGGACCAAAGAUUUAUCGCCCAGAGAUCAGCCCGCGUCUGAUUAGGUAGUUGGUAGGGUAAUGGCCUACCAAGCCUACGAUCAGUAGCUGGUCUGAGAGGAUGAUCAGCCACACUGGAACUGAGACACGGUCCAGACUCCUACGGGAGGCAGCAGUUAGGAAUAUUGGACAAUGGGGGAAACCCUGAUCCAGCCAUGCCGCGUGUGUGACGAAGGCCUUAGGGUUGUAAAGCACUUUCGGCUGUGAAGAUAAUGACAGUAGCAGAAGAAGAAG
Molecule: ribosomal RNA, 309 nt
Filed under: uncultured Micavibrio sp.
Lineage: Bacteria; Pseudomonadati; Bdellovibrionota; Bdellovibrionia; Bdellovibrionales; Pseudobdellovibrionaceae
Description: bacterial SSU rRNA
Rfam family: Bacterial small subunit ribosomal RNA
Source: RNAcentral